Salvia splendens (bonfire salvia) is the source of this 850-nucleotide long non-coding RNA. RefSeq lists it as uncharacterized. The record is from RefSeq and is a predicted model, not a curated record. The transcript has 3 exons. NCBI's taxonomy places the organism in Eukaryota, Viridiplantae, Streptophyta, Magnoliopsida, Lamiales, Lamiaceae.
CCCCAACUUCCUACAAAUGAUGGGACAAGUCAGAAACGACAGAGCAAUAAUAAUACAGUAACAAAAACAACUCUUACCAUCUUCAACCAUAGUCAACAUAUGAAUAGUAUGACACUAUUCACUGAAAACGACCAGAAGUCAUCACAUAUGCAUAUCUACCUAAUGGGCAAAAGAAUAGGAAUUGGGGAAGGGAUGAAUAGUACCAAGACUUUGUUUUUUUUACCAAAUCCUACACCAUCCCGGGAGCUCCGCCAACAAACACUCCCCUCAAAAAAAGAAUGAUGAUGUUGGAAUAUUAACCGAGAAAAAUGCGUAGUCAUAACUUGUGUAGGGAGUUAGUGUAUAAAAGAAAGUAUCAACUUCCAUUAUCAACGCCUACCCAAAAUCUCUUUCACCUCCAAAUUUUAUUUUCAAGCAAGUAGAAGGAAAACUUUGCAACCUUCCAAUACCAAGUUUUCAAGUUUUCGUUAAGAAGGAGAAUUUCAAAUUGGAGUACAUAUCAUAGAAAUCUCUUAUCAUUGUUUUGAGGUCCAUCGCACGGAAUUAAACUCCAAGAGAGUAUAUUGUUAUACGGAGUCGAAAGCAUAUGAGGUUGAGCUGUGAUGGAGUGGAGGGUGCUAAUUAAACUAGCCCUACUUAUAUUUCCAUUCAAUAUUCUCGGAGGUUCGUGUCUUCAUACAUGGAACCGCAUUCAGUUCCUUCCGCUGUGUAUUAAAGCAAGUGAAAUCCUUUAUGUCUCUAAGACUCUAAUAACUAGCCAGUAUAUUGUAUGGUCCCCGACUCAAGUCAUUGUGAUCGAACCAUUCUAUUCAUGUAUUCACCGUCUAAACUCUACAGACAUAAAGUUCAA